Molecule: ribosomal RNA, 774 nt
Filed under: uncultured Neocallimastigales
Lineage: Eukaryota; Fungi; Neocallimastigomycota; Neocallimastigomycetes; Neocallimastigales
Description: partial large subunit ribosomal RNA
Rfam family: Eukaryotic large subunit ribosomal RNA
Source: RNAcentral
CGCAUCUGUGCAUGCAGCAUAUCAAUAAGCGGAGGAAAAGAAACUAACAAGGAUUCCCCUAGUAACGGCGAGUGAAGCGGGAAGAGCUCAAAUUUGAAAUCUUAAAGGGUUUCCCCUUACGAAUUGUAGUUUAAAGAAGUGUUUUCUGUUGAGGUUUUGGUAAAAGUUCUUUGGAAUAGGACAUCCUAGAGGGUGAGAAUCCCGUAUUUGACCUUUACUUUCAACUUUGUGAUACACUUUCAAAGAGUCGGAUUGUUUGGGAAUGCAGUCCAAAAUGGGUGGUAAAUUUCAUCUAAAGCUAAAUAUUGGCGAGAGACCGAUAGCGAACAAGUACCGUGAGGGAAAGACGAAAAGAACUUUGAAAAGAGAGUUAAACAGUACGUGAAAUUGUCAAAAGGGAAGCGUUUGACACCAGUGUUGUUUUUCUGAAAAUCAAUUAAAGAACUGUUUAUGCUAAGUUGUUUAGACUUUAUCAGCUAUCUGUUUAGUUUUGAGCUUUUCUUUAAUGCACUUUUCAGUUAACAAGUCAACAUCAAUUUCUUUUGCUGUAAAAAAGCUUGAGGAAGGUGGCUUGAGAUUCGUCUUAAGUGUUUAUAGCCUCUUGCCUAUGCAGUCGGAGAGAUUGAGGUCUGCAGCGUAGAUCCUUCGGGGCUAAAUGCAUUUGUGCUAAGUUAUAGCAUUUUAUAGACAACUUGUUGACUAUGAUUUGUCUUGUAGCUUACUCGCUUAUGUUAUUUUACCUACGCUUAGGAUGUUGACGAGACUGUCGAUCUC